UUCCGGUUGAUCCCGCCGGAGGCCGCUGCUAUCUGGCUGAGACUAAGCCAUGCUAGUCCAGGGGUCAGUUCUCCUUGCGAGAACUGGCACCGGCGGACGGCUCAGUAACACGUGGACAACCUGCCCUCGGGUGGGGGAUAACCCCGGGAAACUGGGGCUAAUACCCCAUAGGUCAUGGGUACUGGAAUGUCCCAUGACCGAAAGCGCUAGCGCCCGAGGAUGGGUCUGCGGCGGAUUAGGUAGUUGGUGGGGUAACGGCCCACCAAGCCGAAGAUCCGUACGGGCUGUGAGAGCAGGAGCCCGGAGAUGGACCCUGAGACAAGGGUCCAGGCCCUACGGGGCGCAGCAGGCGCGAAAACUUCGCAAUGCGGGAAACCGCGACGAGGUCAGCCAGAGUGUCCGUGCAUUGCGCGGGCUGUCCGGGUGCCUAAAAAGCACCCGACAGCAAGGGCCGGGCAAGGCCGGUGGCAGCCGCCGCGGUAAUACCGGCGGCCCGAGUGGCGGCCACUUUUAUUGGGCCUAAAGCGUCCGUAGCCGGCCCAGUAAGUCCCCCGGGAAAUCUGGUUGCUCAACAAUCAGACCUCCGGGGGAUACUGCUGGGCUAGGGACCGGGAGAGGCCGAGGGAAUUCCCGGGGUAGGGGUGAAAUCCUGUAAUCCCGGGAGGACCACCUGUGGCGAAGGCGCUCGGCUAGAACGGGUCCGACGGUGAGGGACGAAGGCCUGGGGAGCGAACCGGAUUAGAUACCCGGGUAGUCCAGGCUGUAAACGAUGCGGGCUAGGUGUCACCAGAGCCACGAGCUCCGGUGGUGCCGGAGGGAAGCCGUUAAGCCCGCCGCCUGGGAAGUACGGCCGCAAGGCUGAAACUUAAAGGAAUUGGCGGGGGAGCACUACAACGGGUGGAGCCUGCGGUUCAAUUGGAUUCAACGCCGGG
RNAcentral lists this ribosomal RNA (932 nucleotides) under uncultured archaeon. Its description in RNAcentral is "bacterial SSU rRNA". It matches the Rfam family "Archaeal small subunit ribosomal RNA", at positions 1 to 922 of the family's 1478-position model. The record is from RNAcentral.